AACGAAACAUCAUAUGACAACCAUGUGACACCCGACUACCGGGUUCCCUGUGGUAUAAACACGUGACAAUGCGCGUUUCGCUGCGCGCACGCUAGGGGCGAAGCAAGAUGGCAGCGAAGGGUUUUGGAGUUAAACAGAUCGGAAACCGCUUUCAAGUGAGUUUAAAGCUGAAAUAAAUACGAAUCCCUACUCCUGGAUCUCGUUGUUUACCCUCCACGCGCUCGCAAGUCGGACCAACAUGGUCACGUGAUUAUGACGUCAUCAAUGACGUCCCUAGAAUAAAAAAUAUGCUGACGUCAUCAAAAUAAACAAGUAUAUAUAUCUCAUUAAAGAAACAUCGUGUGACAACAAAACUCGGUAGGUGUGAUGUAUGUUUCAAGUGGGGUGCAAGGAGAUGGUCAGGUGACGUCAUUCGAUGACGUCAAUAAAUUAAAACUACCCUGACGCCGAAGACACCGCGGCAGAACGACUGCGCAUGCGCGAGACAAGAGUCAUUCAAAAUGGCGAACGAAACACGAGUUUCCCAAAGCUGUUACAAUAAACACAAACGUUUGGCUCAAAAUGGACUUAACGAGAGCAAAAAAAUACACAUACGCCAAGAAAAUGUACUCGUGUUAAGGUUCCAGGAAGAUUUUUUGCUGGAUCGAGGGUAAAAUCCUCAAGUUUGACGGCGUUUGUGGGAUUUGCUGGCACGCGAAACUCAAAAGUUCUACUGCUGCCGUGAAAACGAGACAAAUGUCAGGGAGCAAACAUCAAAUGUGGGCGAGAUUAGUUUCUUUAUAUUCCUGAGGAAUUCUUCCAAGUCAGCCUUGGGACUCAUUCCGAUCAUCGCUCCAAAGUUAUGGCCGUGUGCAUAGUGUAGAUGGCUAUCUAGAACAUAGAUCUUUGAAUCGUGUCCGACGAGAGAUAUUGUCAUUCCAUUAGCUAUGACUAUUGCUGCUAAGUUCUGUUCGCGAUCAAGCCUUUGCAGAUAAAAUGCAAGUGAACUUUGAGGAACCUGUGGAUUAGCUGAUGUAAUUGACAGAUCGAGAGUGUCUUCAAGAGAAACAGUCCCAAUGACUGAAUCUAGAUGUGGUUUUGCCUCAACAACACUAAAGAAUGGAGACCCGCAACCAUUUGUCACAGUGUCAUAUAUGCUGUUGCCACGAACAAUUGCAGAUAACAUCAUUGAAAGCCAAUGAGGGUUUAUGGGAGGACCACAGCUGAGCUGUAUACUGGUUCGGUUUGCAGAAGUGAUAUAUGAAUGGGCCAAAAUUAGUGAGAUAAAAGUACAUGCAUUAGAUCCAUUUCUUCCAAGUAGAGUUGACUGAGAUAUGUAAGGAGGAAAGAACCAAAAUGUAGAUGAACCAACUGGAUGAGUGGUAACUUGGAUGUCAAUUGCCUGUAAAGGUGCAGCCUGGUGAUUGGGAACAUUGUGUCGCAGUUGUGGUUGUGCAACAACAAAUGAAUUUAACUCCCUGUCAAUGUGGGAUUCCCAUUGUGCAGAGUCAUAGUAUUCAGGGUCACAAUUUCUUUUGACAUUAAUGCUGUCAUUCUCAUCAUUACUACCAGGUUCUUGAUUGCUUUGUGGGGUUCUAGUAGAUUUUGCUGUUGGUUUCAACAAGCUUUCAUUAAAUGCUGAACAGAUUUCUGCAAUUUUUUCAGCAAGGUGAGGGGAACAGAUUGGACACUGGUCUCCAGCUUCUUCUAAACAAAAAUUGUGAAAUGUGUGAAAACAGUUAAGGCGAUUGACAUUGGUUGUUGAUAAUUGCGUGCAGUUUUUGUAGUCACAGAUUAAUUUAGGAUCAGGUAUUGUGGAAGGGUCUUCUUUUACAAAUGAGUAGCCAAGGGGCAUUGCUUUUGAAGUAAUGGUGGUGUCAAAGGUAGGAAGAAAAAAUUUCAUGUCUCCUUUAGGCUGCCCUCUUGCAUUUGUUUCUUGUGGAACCUUAAAUGUAAAAAAAAUAGACACAAUUGUUAGUCAUGAAAAAGAAAAUAAGUUGAGGCUAUGAUCAAGUGCUCGACUAAUCAUUAUUAUUACUUCCCUGCAUAAAAAAACAUUGUUCAGGCACUGCACUGCACCAAGGUAAUAAAAAAUUACUUAUGGAUGGA
Molecule: long non-coding RNA, 2088 nt
Organism: Nematostella vectensis (starlet sea anemone)
Lineage: Eukaryota; Metazoa; Cnidaria; Anthozoa; Actiniaria; Edwardsiidae
Exons: 2
Source: RefSeq, a predicted model, not a curated record